Molecule: microRNA precursor, 64 nt
Filed under: Podarcis lilfordi (Lilford's wall lizard)
Lineage: Eukaryota; Metazoa; Chordata; Lepidosauria; Squamata; Lacertidae
Source: RNAcentral
UAUGUGUGUGUGUGUGUGUGUGUGUGUGUGUGUGCGCACGCGCACACACACACACACGCAUAAU